UCACUUUGGCAGCAGAGAUACUAAAAUUGGAAUGAUACAGAGAGGAUUAGCAUGGCCUCUACAGGAAGGUGACGUGCAAAUCUGGGAAGCUUCUGUAUUUUAA
This is a small nuclear RNA of Heterocephalus glaber (naked mole-rat), 103 nucleotides long. The record is from Ensembl. NCBI's taxonomy places the organism in Eukaryota, Metazoa, Chordata, Mammalia, Rodentia, Bathyergidae.